This 69-nucleotide transfer RNA is filed under the name Ictidomys tridecemlineatus (thirteen-lined ground squirrel). Its description in RNAcentral is "Spermophilus tridecemlineatus (thirteen-lined ground squirrel) tRNA". It matches the Rfam family "tRNA". From Rfam's summary of the family: Transfer RNA (tRNA) molecules are approximately 80 nucleotides in length. The record is from Rfam by way of RNAcentral. Lineage: Eukaryota; Metazoa; Chordata; Mammalia; Rodentia; Sciuridae.
GGGGUUGUGGCUCAGUGGUAGAGCGCAUGCCUGGCAAGUGCGAGGCCCUGGGUUCAAUCCUCAGCCCCA